Molecule: long non-coding RNA, 342 nt
Filed under: Monodelphis domestica (gray short-tailed opossum)
Lineage: Eukaryota; Metazoa; Chordata; Mammalia; Didelphimorphia; Didelphidae
Description: lncRNA (ENSMODG00000030221.2)
Source: RNAcentral
UGCUGGUUCGGGCAGAAAUCACACUAGCAUUUCCCUUCUUCAUCAUCCAGGGAGUUGCCUUGGCAGGACCAAAUUUUGACUCUCAAACUAGCCCCUUCCAUUCUUAGGGAUUUGGGGGCAGUACAAGCCAGAUUGGCAAUUUCUUGAUUGGGCCUUCUGACAGCACCCAAGCCCCAAGGACUCAUCACAUUGGUUCCUGAUUUAGUGUGGAUACUUGAUCAUCUUUAGCCCUACUGCAGUUCAGAACUCAAAAACUCAAGCAAGCCAUUAGCCUCAGUAUCCCCAGUAUCAGUGACUAAAGGGAUAUGCCACCAUAUCUGAAUAUCCUUCUAUAUUAUUACC